Molecule: ribosomal RNA, 507 nt
Filed under: uncultured bacterium
Lineage: Bacteria
Description: bacterial SSU rRNA
Rfam family: Bacterial small subunit ribosomal RNA
Source: RNAcentral
UACGGGGAGGCAGCAGUGGGGGAUAUUGCACAAUGGGCGAAAGCCUGAUGCAGCAACGCCGCGUGAAGGAAGACGGUUUUCGGAUUGUAAACUUCUAUCAGCUGGGAAGAAAAUGACUGUACCAGACUAAGAAGCCCCGGCUAACUACGUGCCAGCAGCCGCGGUAAUACGUAGGGGGCAAGCGUUAUCCGGAUUUACUGGGUGUAAAGGGUACGUAGGCGGCUUACUAAGUCAGAUGUGAAAGCCCGGAGCUCAACUCCGGGACUGCAUUUGAAACUGGUGAGCUAGAGUACAGGAGAGGUAAGUGGAAUUCCUAGUGUAGCGGUGAAAUGCGUAGAUAUUAGGAAGAACACCAGUGGCGAAGGCGACUUACUGGACUGUAACUGACGCUGAGGUACGAAAGCGUGGGGAGCGAACAGGAUUAGAUACCCUGGUAGUCCWCGCMGUAAACGAUGAAUGCUAGGUGUCGGGGGUCGAACCUCGGUGCCGCAGUAACGCAAUAAGCAU